CUGUGGUGAAGCUCAUGGGGAUGGGAGAGGAUCACCUCUUGAAUGAUCAAGGCUUUAGACAUCAGAGCUAAUUUAGCAAAUGUCGGGAAGGAAAAGGAUCUCUAAACCAUGCACCCUGGCUUGGCAGAGCCCUGGCUGUGACGUUACCUGCUUGGGUAAUGACAUCCGUGUGCUUCUCCACUGGGCUUGGACGACGAAAUGGCUCAAUGUUAGUUGCGUCCUCAUCCAAGUGAUGUGGCCUUUCACCACAAGCAUUGGAAGGCUGCUGUGCCCCUCAGGUGGUGAGGAAAUCAAAGGGAAUUCAGGCGUGGGCUUUCCUAUUCCUGGAAAAUUCUUGCCAAUUCUUUCCCUGGACAGAACAGCAAGGGAAGAGUGACCAGAUAAAUUGGAGACCUCCAGAGCAGAGAUGUCUCAAGCACAGCAGCUGUUCAGAACCACAGACCACUUGAACUGAACUGCCUUCCCAUCACACACAGACCUUCUGCGUAGACUCUCCAGGGAAUACACCUGGAGUCUUAAUUCCAGAGAUCUGGGCUGGAGGACCUGGCACUGGGACCAGGUGCAGCGAGGAUGUUGUGUCACCUUCUGGGUGUUGAGAUGUCACCUUUUGUAGGUGUGAGAUGUCACCAGUGAAUGUUUACCGACGUUGCCUGACGUGACGUGCAAGGACCUGCCUGUCGUUUUGGACCAUCUGUUUCUCACUGAGGAAGUGUCUCUUGCUUUUCCCAAUGUCUCCCUCAGCCUGGUUCUUCUCUUUGCACUCAUGGUCCCCCCUGCAGGCGCUGGUCUCUCCCUCUCCCCACUAUUCACCCUGAGCCUGCUCUGUAGCUUUAUUCCUACCAACAUACCAGUAUCUUGGGUUCGAUUUUCCCUGGUGGAUUUGAUCCCUGGGGCAGUCCCCUUCUUGUGAACUUGUUUUUCCUCAUUCAGGUGGUUUUCGCUGUCUUUCUCCCCUUUGCACGGAAGACACACGCACACAGGCUGUGCUUCUGGCUUCCACUUGCUUAAGGCCUAGAGGAUGGAGAUCUUGUCCUGAUGUGAUCCCAUAACACAUGGAGCAUACCCUGAGCACAGGGUGAAAGUGUUCAUUGCCGAAGUAGCCAGGGAAAUGGAAAACGCCUGCCUGACCUUAUUUGAGCCCUUAUGGUGGCUCUCCUCAGGACUCUGCUCAGGGAAGAAACUCCCCUGGUCUUUUCUCCUUCCCUCUAGGAAUGUGCCCUUGUGCAUAUGUGGGUAAUUCUUCCCCUGAUCCCAUUGUGUCCUCAGUGCAGGGAGAAGGACCGUGCCCCCAUGGUGGCCUCCUACAGAUGGGAAAGGCAGGUGGCACAGGGAGAAGUAAUUCCAGUCAGUUUUGCCUUGCUUUUGGUGCUGGAGGGGGGAUCAUCCAUUGCUCUCCUACUGCUGAGACUUUGGCACCACCUGUCUCUGAGGGAAAGGAUGAAGAUCCCAGAGGAGCGAUCCCAGCAAGAACCGAUCCUGUCUUUCUGUUCCCCGCCCUGCUUGGUGUUGGAUGCUUUCUGGCUCCUCAGGAACAGCCCCGGCCACCACCGCGGGGUUUGGGUGGGCACAGGGUGUCCUGGGGUUUGGUAGCUCUGCUCUGGGCAUGGCUGGUUCUCGCUUUGUGCUUCCUCCUUCCUGGGUGGAUGAUGACAGCACUCCCCAGGAAAUCUCUUCCAGAUAAGCAGUAUUUAUUUUGCAGGACUGAUGCAUCGUGCACUUUUCUCUCUAAUUCAAGCAAACGCACACAAAUAACGUUGCUUUUAUCUGCCCAGGUCCAAACCGUGCUCAAAGCCUCCUCUUGCCGUGACUCACUCCUGGGCAAGCCCUGGAGAAAACAGAUGUGGUGAUUCACUUGCAGAUCCCAUCCUUUUCUCACGGCCCUGUGUGUCAGACACGCUCUGGGUACCUGAAGGAGGAGCAAGUUCCUGCAAGCAGGAGCCUUGGAAGGACAUGGAUCUGUUAGAGCGACUCCAGAGAAGCCAUGAAGAUGAUCCAAGGGGUGGAGCAUCUCCCAUUUGAAGACAGUCUGAGAGAGUUGGGCUUGUUCAGCCUGGAGAAGAGAAAAGGAGACCUUAGAGCAGCUUCCAGCACUGAAAGGGGCUCUGGGAAAGCUGAGGAGGGGCUCUGGAUCAGGGAGGGCAGCGAGAGGAUGAGGGGGAAAGGUUUUGAACUGAAAGGGGGGAGAUGGAGAUGAGAUCUUAGGAAGAAAUGUUUUGCUGUGAGGGUGGGGAGGCCCUGGCCCAGGUUGCCCAGAGCAGUGGUGGCUGCCCCAUCCCUGGAGGGGUUCCAGGCCAGGUUGGAUGGGGCUUGGAGCCCCUGAUCCAGUGGGAAGUGUCCCUGAACCAUGGCAGUGGGUGGAACUGGAUGGGCUUUGAGGUCCCUUCCAAUCCAAACCAUUCUAUGAGCCUGUGAUCAGCUGAGCACCUGCUCCUGCGCCUCCUGCCCCACUCCAGCAUUUCCAGAGGGAUCCUCCUGAUUUUCAGUAGGACUCAGGUCUGCAGCCAGUUUGGGAUGCUGCUUUCUAUCAGCUGUAUAGGUUUGGUUCUGGUGGAGGUAGUGGUGUAAAUUGGGUUCUCGAUGUGUUGAGUAGUUUGGAAGGAGUGGUCCAUAAAAAUUGUGCAUCGUACCUUUUGUUGAUGUCUUCUCUGCAGGCUCCUGUGAGGGUAAAUUUUGUGAGCUGAAAAUUCUGUGGUUUUUACAAAAUGACUUUUUUUUUGUUAUCCUUUUUCCGUUUUCUCCCAUUUUCCCUUUCUGUCUCCUCCAUUUUAAUCCUUAUUUUAGGAAAAAUAAAACAUAAAAUUGAAGGAGGGAGGUGGAAUCCAAUUUGAUGAAUAAUAAAUAACCUUGCAUUCAGAAAAGCCUCGGCUGUUUUUCCUCAAAGCAGCCGGUGCACUACGAGCUUGAUUUGCUGCUAUAAAUAUUGGCCAGGUUCUUUCAACCCUUCUGAAGGUAAAUGAGAAGCAGUUGCCAGGUUUGCUUGGUGUUGCACGUCUGGGAUGAUGAAAGGACCAAAGAAACUGGAAGAAUCUGUAAUUGCGAGUGGGGUGCUCAGCCAUGCGGUCUGGGAGCCCGAGCGCCGAGGUGCAGCAGGGAGGCAUGCGCUUGAUGUGGGAUCUCCCUUCGCCACGGUUUCUACCUGCCAAACACCAGCCUGGAAGAUAACUCCCGCUGGCUCCAGGAUGGGAGGAUGCUAAAAGCAUUCCAGCCCAGAUGAAGAGGCGAACCUCGGUGACGUGGCGCCAGGUGCACCUCCAGGCAUUUGCUGCUCAGUGGCGACGGGCUUGGAGCGCUGACACUCCCCGCACACCCUGCGGUGAUGGAGCAGUUGGACAUCAGUGGGCAGGUUCAAGACUGAGAGGGACGAUGCGUUGGGCUGGGAGAUGUCCUGCUCUUCGCUGGCAAGGACUUUUCUCUAUUACCUUCUCAGCAGUCACGGGGCUGACUUGACUGGUCAAAUAUUGAAGAGACCAAGUCCUUGAGAACAGCUAUCUGAAGAACGAGAAGCAGUUGAGGAUGUUUGUCCCUUAGCUCACCUAAGGAUUAUUAAUGACUUUUCAGUGGAGCCAAUUAAGCAGGUGCAUUGAUGAUGACAGAGCAAGAGCUGCAUUGCUACCAAGGUUCAGGUCAUGCAAGGAGGCCUCAUUCCCAAGCUGAUGUCCCCUGGCCAUCUGAAUAAACUGUGGACAGCUGACCAUCAGCAGUCGGAACAGAUCCCGUCAGGAGCGAGUGCAUCCUCUCUUGCUGGCAGAGCAUCUGCACAGUGAUCCAUGAUUACCUCAGACUUUGUCAUGAUGGAAAGUUUCUCAGGGGAAGCUUAUUCUGAACUUGCGCUUUCUCUUUGUUUGGUUGGAAGUCCAGUGGACAAAUUCCAGUCAUGAGGCUUUGCCACGGCUGAUCACGUGGCUUCGCUGCUGUUCUCAGCCUGGUGAAACAUUACUGCUUCCAUUAGCUUCUCUCUUUUCGAUCUCCAGCUAAAUCAUAGAUUCAUAGAAUGUCCUGAGUUGGAAGGGCCACACAAGGGUCAUCAAUUCCAACUCCUGUCUCCCUGCACAGGGCAACCCCAACAUUCACACCGUGUGUCUGAGGGUGCUGGCCAAACGCUUCUUGAAUAUCAUCAGGCUUGGUGCCACGAUGGCUCAUGUUCUGCUGCUCCACCAGCCUCUAAGUGAAGAACCUUUUCCCAGCAUCCAGCCUAACCCUCCCGUGGUGCAUCUUCCUGCCAUUCCCUCAGAUCCUGUCACUGGCCACCAGAGAGAAGAGAUCAGUGCCUGCUCCUCCUCCCCUUGUGAGGAAGCAGUAAACUGCAAUGAGGUCUCCCCUCAGUCUCCUCUUCUCCAGGCUGAACAGACCACGUGAAUUUAGCUGCUCCUCAUACGUCUUCCCCUCUUAACCCUUCAACAACUUAGUGGUUCUAACACUUGGAAGAUAUAAGCCCACGGGAUAUGUUUCAGCCCCCUAUUGGAACACAAAAGUGAACAUAAAAAAGUACAAGCACCAUCAAACCCAUUUGAUUUAAAAUCACUUCUUGGCUACUUCCACCACCGAUACGGUUCCAGUGCUAGCGUAGAGUCUUCAAUAUCAGUAAACUCUGGCAACUUCUCUAGUGCAUGAGGAGCCAGGAUCUCUGGAAUCCAGCUUCUUUCCUGAAUCUUCUCAAGAAGUUUCCUCCUCCUGAUAAAUUCUAGGAGUGAAAAUGUAGAGAGAGUGAAGAUGCUAAAAAGGCUACGGAUCUUGUUCGUGUUGCAGUUGAGAAAUGAAAGCUUCUUCCCUUUUGUAAAUGAUUUUCAAUGCUUUCAACAUUUUCUUUUUGUUUUGUCACUGGGAAAAAUGAAAAGAAAAAAAGGGGAAGAAGUAGUGAAAAGGGCAAAUGUUUAAUUUUCUGGUUCAUCCUUUAAGAACUUUGAAGAGUAAAGAAGUGGCUCAUGUUAAUUUCUGGAGAAAGGAAGAGAAAUUCCACUUUCUGCAUGUGAUUCUCCCCUUCCUCCCUACCACUUGAAAUAAUUCAUCCUGCCUUAAAUUAAAAGGUUUGAUUUGGAAACUGGGGCAGAAGGUGAGCGUUUGUGGGUGUGUUGGCAAGGGCAUCCUGAGUGGAUAGAAGCUUUUGGAAGGGCAGCGCGCAGCCCCAGCGCUGCAGGAGGAGCUAUACUGGGACUCUUUUUGGGUGAAACCAUGGCGGGUGCUGCUGGGGUGGAUGAUGAGGUGAAGACACCAGCCCAGAAAAUAAAUACUUCCAAUCUUUAAAUACUUCCAACAUAGGAGCUCAGCCCCCAUUCUUGUUAAUUCGGGAGCUAUUCCCAGCCGCUCCCUCUGGGUCUGCAGGAUCGCCCUUUCCCAGGUCAGCAGCCUGGAUGCCCAUUAUUCCGCAGGAUGGCUCCUUGCCUUCUCUGCCUGGGUGUUUCGCUGGGCGUCAAAGGGACUGGAGGAAAAACCCAGCUGCAACGCAGGGUGUAUGCCUUCCUUUCCCAUCAGUGACCCUCUGGAAGACCAUCAUCACUAAUGCCACCUUGCUCUCAUUUAGAUGAAGGUUUCUGCCUCCACAUGCUCUGGACCGUGCAGGUCUCCACCGCUGCGUUGACCUCAGGGCAGAUGGAUGCUUUGCUGAGCCCAUGGACUCCUGGUUAUCUGCAGCACAAGGGUGCUCCCAAACCAUGUUCAACAAGAGAGAUUGAGUUCUGAGUGAGUUCUUUCCUUCCUGCCUUUUCUGAGCCUUUUCCCACCAGUGUCACCCAGCUCACCAAACAUCAACCCUCUGGGGCUACGUCUUUACAGCAUCUUACUUGAGGCAAAAGAGACAGGCACACUCGGACACUCUCCCUGAGGUGCCGACCAACUCCAAACAGUGAGGCAUCAACUGCUGAUGUCUUUGGAAGCGAAUCCUGCAGUAGGGGACGGCUGUUGUGCCUGCUUUCCCCAGCUGAUGAUGCUGGAGAGGAGAAGGCAUGUCAGGAGAGAAUGACUUCAUGACCCACUCCGGGAACUGGUCACCCCCUCCUCGCAGCAAGGGCUGCUGGAAGGAAGCCCAGGCGAAGCGCUGCCAAGGAUGUCUUCAUCCUCAUACCCCGUUACAGGCAGUGUUUGCAAAUGCUGAGACGGUGCUGCUCAGUGAGCAGCCAGCCAGCUUGGCUGAUAACGUAGCUUUUGGUGGCUCUGCUCAAAGCCGAGAGCCUCACAGCAUGUUCUGGCUCGGGGGUGACACCAGUGUGUUUGGGUGGCUCCAUGGGAGUGGGAGAGGUGAAAGGAGAAAGCUGGGUCUUUGGCUAUUUUUCUCAAAUUUAAUGAACUCUGCCUGAACGAUGAACCUGGUGUGGCUGUUUCUGGACCCCACAGCCCUGCAAGGUGAGGAUUUCCCUGUUUUCAGAUGUAAUGAUGUUCUCCAGCUGCACCUGAAGCACAAGAAGGGAUCUUUUAAUGCAGUUCAGCUCCCCUGGGCUGAAUUAAUUACUGGCAAAAUGAACCCAGGCCUCAGCGUGCUGCGAGAUAUCCCUGCAACUCACAAUCACAACCAAAGA
Cuculus canorus (common cuckoo) is the source of this 6509-nucleotide long non-coding RNA. RefSeq lists it as uncharacterized. The transcript has 3 exons. Lineage: Eukaryota; Metazoa; Chordata; Aves; Cuculiformes; Cuculidae. The record is from RefSeq and is a predicted model, not a curated record.